This 1096-nucleotide ribosomal RNA is filed under the name uncultured ammonia-oxidizing bacterium. RNAcentral's name for it is "bacterial SSU rRNA". It matches the Rfam family "Bacterial small subunit ribosomal RNA", at positions 137 to 1229 of the family's 1533-position model. The record is from RNAcentral.
UGGGGGAUAACGCAUCGAAAGAUGUGCUAAUACCGCAUAAUCUCUGAGGAGAAAAGCAGGGGAUCGCAAGACCUUGCGCUUUUGGAGCGGCCGAUGUCUGAUUAGCUAGUUGGUGGGGUAAUGGCCUACCAAGGCUUCGAUCAGUAGCUGGUCUGAGAGGACGGCCAGCCACACUGGGACUGAGACACGGCCCAGACUCCUACGGGAGGCAGCAGUGGGGAAUUUUGGACAAUGGGCGCAAGCCUGAUCCAGCCAUGCCGCGUGAGUGAAGAAGGCCUUCGGGUUGUAAAGCUCUUUCAGCCGAGAAGAAAAGGUUGCGACUAAUAAUCGCAAUUCAUGACGGUACCGGCAGAAGAAGCACCGGCUAACUACGUGCCAGCAGCCGCGGUAAUACGUAGGGUGCGAGCGUUAAUCGGAAUUACUGGGCGUAAAGGGUGCGCAGGCGGUUUUGUAAGUCAGAUGUGAAAUCCCCGGGCUUAACCUGGGAACUGCGUUUGAAACUACAAGACUAGAGUGUAGCAGAGGGGGGUGGAAUUCCAUGUGUAGCAGUGAAAUGCGUAGAGAUAUGGAAGAACACCGAUGGCGAAGGCAGCCCCCUGGGUUAACACUGACGCUCAAGCACGAAAGCGUGGGGAGCAAACAGGAUUAGAUACCCUGGUAGUCCACGCCCUAAACGAUGUCAACUAGUUGUCGGGCCUUAAUAGGCUUGGUAACGUAGCUUACGCGUGAAGUUGACCGCCUGGGGAGUACGGUCGCAAGAUUAAAACUCAAAGGAAUUGACGGGGACCCGCACAAGCGGUGGAUUAUGUGGAUUAAUUCGAUGCAACGCGAAAAACCUUACCUACCCUUGACAUGUACCGAAACUCGCAGAGAAGCGAGUGUGCCCAUAAAGGAACGGUAACACAAGAGCUGCAUGGCUGUCGUCAGCUCGUGUCCUGAGAUGUUGGGUUUAGUCCCGCAACAAGCGCGACCCUUGUCAUUAAUUGCCAUUAUUUACUUGGGGACUUUAAUGAGACUGCCGGUGACAAACCGCAAGAAGGUGGGGAUGACGUCAAGUCCUCAUGGCCCUUAUGGGUAGGGCUUCACACGUAAUACA